UGGUGGAGCAGACUUGAUGGGCCGAAUGGCCUAAUUCUGCUCCUAUGGCUUAUGAAGGAAUGAAAUGUCUCCAGUGACUUCGCUGUGCUGUUUCCGUGCUGUUCGAUUCAAGACUCUGUGACAUUCCUGCAUUAUUGUGUCAACAUCAGACCACGGUUUAUAAGAUGAGAAAAGUGCUGGGAUUAGCUGGGAAAAUACCGGAGGAAAUGCCGGAGAACAUCCUGCACUAAACAGGAAAGCUGCCGCGGGUUGUUAUAUCCUCUUCACCAUGUAAGUAAUUCCCUUUCUGUUUUUAUCUUGAACAGCGGCAAGAGGCAGAACACUAGACAAGUUCUCGAUUGGUAAAAACCAAGUAACGCUCAUCUCCAUUCGACUACGUAACACAGACUGAGGUUUCUGAACCUGCGCAGACUUUCUCUGACCAUCUCCUACCAUGACAAGACUCUAUUAAACUCUCGUCAGAAGAAGCCUCAUUGUGGACUAAUCCACACUAUCAUCAGAAGCUUGCAGAGCUGGGCGGCAUGGUGACAGCGGUAGAGUUGCUGCCUCACGGCGCCAGAGACCCGGGUUCCAUCCUGACUACGGGUGCUGUCUGUACUG
This is a long non-coding RNA of Amblyraja radiata (thorny skate), 600 nucleotides long. RefSeq lists it as uncharacterized. The transcript has 3 exons. The record is from RefSeq and is a predicted model, not a curated record. NCBI's taxonomy places the organism in Eukaryota, Metazoa, Chordata, Chondrichthyes, Rajiformes, Rajidae.